This 179-nucleotide ribosomal RNA is filed under the name uncultured bacterium. Its description in RNAcentral is "partial 16S ribosomal RNA". It matches the Rfam family "Bacterial small subunit ribosomal RNA", at positions 1322 to 1500 of the family's 1533-position model. The record is from RNAcentral.
GAAGCCGGAAUUGCUAGUAAUGGCAGGUCAGCAUACUGCCGUGAAUACGUUCCCGGGCCUUGUACACACCGCCCGUCACACCAUGAGAGUUGGGAAUACCCGAAGCCUGUGAGCUAACAUUUAUGAGGCAGCAGUCGAAGGUAGAAUCAAUGAUUGGGGUGAAGUCGUAACAAGGUAUC